GAUGAAGAACGUAGCGAAAUGCGAUAAGUAGUGUGAAUUGCAGACUUUAGUGAAUCAUCGAAUCUUUGAACGCACAUUGCGCCCCCUGGUAUUCCGGGGGGCAUGCCUGUCCGAGCGUCAUUACAACCCUCAAGCUCAGCUUGGUAUUGGGCCCCGCCGACCCGGCGGGCCCUAAAGUCAGUGGCGGUGCCGUCCGGCUCCGAGCGUAGUAAUUCUUCUCGCUCUGGAGGUCCGGUCGUGUGCUCGCCAGCAACCCCCAAUUUUUUUCAGGUUGACCUCGGAUCAGGUAGGGAUACCCGCUGAACUUAAGCAUAUCAAUAAGCGGAGGA
Molecule: unclassified non-coding RNA, 329 nt
Filed under: soil metagenome
Description: partial contains 5.8S ribosomal RNA, internal transcribed spacer 2, and large subunit ribosomal RNA
Rfam family: 5.8S ribosomal RNA (bases 1-120)
Source: RNAcentral